UACGUAGGGCGCAAGCGUUAUCCGGAAUUAUUGGGCGUAAAGAGCUCGUAGGCGGUUUGUCGCGUCUGCCGUGAAAGUCCGGGGCUCAACUCCGGAUCUGCGGUGGGUACGGGCAGACUAGAGUGCAGUAGGGGAGACUGGAAUUCCUGGUGUAGCGGUGAAAUGCGUAGAUAUCAUUUGGAACGCCAACGGUGAAAACAGGCAGCUGGGGGUGUGCUGACGCUGAGACACGAAAGCCAGGGGAGCGAACGGG
Molecule: ribosomal RNA, 253 nt
Filed under: uncultured bacterium
Lineage: Bacteria
Description: partial 16S ribosomal RNA
Rfam family: Bacterial small subunit ribosomal RNA
Source: RNAcentral